Molecule: transfer RNA, 73 nt
Filed under: Canis lupus familiaris (dog)
Lineage: Eukaryota; Metazoa; Chordata; Mammalia; Carnivora; Canidae
Also listed under: 1 other name
Rfam family: tRNA
About the family: Transfer RNA (tRNA) molecules are approximately 80 nucleotides in length. Their secondary structure includes four short double-helical elements and three loops (D, anti-codon, and T loops).
Source: Rfam by way of RNAcentral
GCCUGGCUGGCUUAGUCCGUAGAGCAUAUGACUCUUGAUCUUGGGGUCAUGGUUUCAAGCCCCAUGUCAGGUG